UACGUAGGGUGCGAGCGUUGUCCGGAAUUAUUGGGCGUAAAGGGCUCGUAGGCGGUUUGUCGCGUCGGGGGUGAAAACCCAGGGCUUAACCCUGGGCUGGCUUUCGAUACGGGCAGACUAGAGGUAUGCAGGGGAGAACGGAAUUCCUGGUGUAGCGGUGAAAUGCGCAGAUAUCAGGAGGAACACCGGUGGCGAAGGCGGUUCUCUGGGCAUUACCUGACGCUGAGGAGCGAAAGUGUGGGGAGCGAACAGG
RNAcentral lists this ribosomal RNA (253 nucleotides) under uncultured bacterium. RNAcentral describes it as "partial 16S ribosomal RNA". It matches the Rfam family "Bacterial small subunit ribosomal RNA", at positions 524 to 776 of the family's 1533-position model. The record is from RNAcentral.